This 167-nucleotide ribosomal RNA is filed under the name uncultured rumen bacterium. RNAcentral describes it as "partial 16S ribosomal RNA". It matches the Rfam family "Bacterial small subunit ribosomal RNA", at positions 340 to 524 of the family's 1533-position model. The record is from RNAcentral.
UACGGGAGGCAGCAGUGGGGAAUAUUGCACAAUGGGGGAAACCCUGAUGCAGCGACGCCGCGUGAGUGAAGAAGUAUUUCGGUAUGUAAAGCUCUAUCAGCAGGGAAGAAAAUGACGGUACCUGAGUAAGAAGCCCCGGCUAACUACGUGCCAGCAGCCGCGGUAAU